Molecule: ribosomal RNA, 274 nt
Filed under: uncultured bacterium
Lineage: Bacteria
Description: partial 16S ribosomal RNA
Rfam family: Bacterial small subunit ribosomal RNA
Source: RNAcentral
AUACGGAGGGUGCGAGCGUUAAUCGGAAUUACUGGGCGUAAAGCGCACGUAGGCGGUUUGUUAAGUCGGAUGUGAAAUCCCCGGGCUCAACCUGGGACCUGCAUCCGAUACUGGCAGGCUAGAGUCUGGUAGAGGGGGGUAGAAUUCCUGGUGUAGCGGUGAAAUGCGUAGAUAUCAGGAGGAAUACCAGUGGCGAAGGCGGCCCCCUGGACUGAGACUGACGCUGAGGUGCGAAAGCGUGGGGAGCAAACAGGAUUAGAUACCCUAGUAGUCC